AGUGAACGCUGGCGGUAGGCCUAACACAUGCAAGUCGAACGGCAGCACAGUAGAGCUUGCUCUUACGGGUGGCGAGUGGCGGACGGGUGAGGAAUACAUCGGAAUCUACUUUUUCGUGGGGGAUAACGUAGGGAAACUUACGCUAAUACCGCAUACGACCUACGGGUGAAAGCAGGGGAUCUUCGGACCUUGCGCGGUUGAAUGAGCCGAUGUCGGAUUAGCUAGUUGGCGGGGUAAAGGCCCACCAAGGCGACGAUCCGUAGCUGGUCUGAGAGGAUGAUCAGCCACACUGGAACUGAGACACGGUCCAGACUCCUACGGGAGGCAGCAGUGGGGAAUAUUGGACAAUGGGCGCAAGCCUGAUCCAGCCAUACCGCGUGGGUGAAGAAGGCCUUCGGGUUGUAAAGCCCUUUUGUUGGGAAAGAAAAGCAGCAGGUUAAUACCCCGCUGUUCUGACGGUACCCAAAGAAUAAGCACCGGCUAACUUCGUG
This 491-nucleotide ribosomal RNA is filed under the name uncultured bacterium. RNAcentral describes it as "partial 16S ribosomal RNA". It matches the Rfam family "Bacterial small subunit ribosomal RNA", at positions 29 to 507 of the family's 1533-position model. The record is from RNAcentral.